Molecule: ribosomal RNA, 450 nt
Filed under: uncultured bacterium
Lineage: Bacteria
Description: bacterial SSU rRNA
Rfam family: Bacterial small subunit ribosomal RNA
Source: RNAcentral
AAUCAACGCUGGCGGCGUGCCUAACACAUGCAAGUCGGACGUGAAAGGGGUUUCGGCCCUGAGUAGCGUGGCGGACGGGUGAGGAACGCGUGGGUGACCUGCCCUGCAGAGGGGGAUAACCCUCCGAAAGGGGGGCUAAUACCGCAUGAGCCCGAGAGGGGAAAGACGGUGAGUCGCUGCGGGAGGGGCCUGCGUCCGAUUAGCUAGUUGGUGGGGUAAGAGCCCACCAAGGCGACGAUCGGUAGCCGGACUGAGAGGUUGAACGGCCACAUUGGGACUGAGACACGGCCCAGACUCCUACGGGAGGCAGCAGUGGGGGAUAUUGCACAAUGGGGGAAACCCUGAUGCAGCGACGCCGCGUGUAGGAAGACGGUCCUCUGGAUUGUAAACUACUGUCUUCGGGGACGAAAAAAGACGGUACCCGAGGAGGAAGCCACGGCUAACUACGUG